GACGAACGCUGGCGGCGUGCUUAACACAUGCAAGUCGAACGGAAAGGCCCUGCUUUUGUGGGGUGCUCGAGUGGCGAACGGGUGAGUAACACGUGAGUAACCUGCCCUUGACUUUGGGAUAACUUCAGGAAACUGGGGCUAAUACCGGAUAGGAGCUCCUGCUGCAUGGUGGGGGUUGGAAAGUUUCGGCGGUUGGGGCUGGAAUCGCGGCUUAUCAGCUUGUUGGUGGGGUAGUGGCUGACCAAGGCUUUGACGGCUAGCCGGCCUGAGAGGGUGACCGGCCACAUUGGGACUGGGGUACGAGCCAGACGCCUACGGGAGGCAGCGGUGGGGAAUAGUGCACAAGGGGCGGAGGCCGGAUGGAGCAACGCCGCGUGCGGGAUGACGGCCUUCGGGGUGUAAACCGCUUUCGCCUGUGACGAAGCGUGAGGGACGGUAAUGGGUAAAGAAGCACCGGCUAACUACGU
This 467-nucleotide ribosomal RNA is filed under the name uncultured bacterium. RNAcentral describes it as "partial 16S ribosomal RNA". It matches the Rfam family "Bacterial small subunit ribosomal RNA", at positions 28 to 506 of the family's 1533-position model. The record is from RNAcentral.